AGUGAACGCUGGCGGUAGGCCUAACACAUGCAAGUCGAACGGCAGCACAGUAAGAGCUUGCUCUUACGGGUGGCGAGUGGCGGACGGGUGAGGAAUACAUCGGAAUCUACUUUUUCGUGGGGGAUAACGUAGGGAAACUUACGCUAAUACCGCAUACGACCUACGGGUGAAAGCAGGGGAUCUUCGGACCUUGCGCGAUUGAAUGAGCCGAUGUCGGAUUAGCUAGUUGGCGGGGUAAAGGCCCACCAAGGCGACGAUCCGUAGCUGGUCUGAGAGGAUGAUCAGCCACACUGGAACUGAGACACGGUCCAGACUCCUACGGGAGGCAGCAGUGGGGAAUAUUGGACAAUGGGCGCAGGCCUGAUCCAGCCAUACCGCGUGGGUGAAGAAGGCCUUCGGGUUGUAAGGCCCUUUUGUUGGGAAAGAAAAGCAGCAGGUUAAUACCCCGCUGUUCUGACGGUACCCAAAGAAUAAGCACCGGCUAACUUCGUG
Molecule: ribosomal RNA, 492 nt
Filed under: uncultured bacterium
Lineage: Bacteria
Description: partial 16S ribosomal RNA
Rfam family: Bacterial small subunit ribosomal RNA
Source: RNAcentral